Molecule: ribosomal RNA, 345 nt
Filed under: uncultured bacterium
Lineage: Bacteria
Description: bacterial SSU rRNA
Rfam family: Bacterial small subunit ribosomal RNA
Source: RNAcentral
AACGAACGCUGGCGGCGCGCCUAACACAUGCAAGUCGAACGAGAAUCCGGGGCAACCCGGUAGUAAAGUGGCAAACGGGUGAGGAAUACAUGGGUAACCUACCCUUGAGAAGGGAAUAACCCGCCGAAAGGUGAGCUAAUACCCUAUACGCUAUCUUUUUUUCGAAAAGGAUAGGAAAGCCGGGGUCGAGGACCUGGUACUCAAGGAGGGGCUCAUGUCCUAUCAGCUUGUUGGUGGGGUAACGGCCUACCAAGGCUACGACGGGUAGCUGGUCUGAGAGGAUGAUCAGCCACACUGGCACUGAGAUACGGGCCAGACUCCUACGGGAGGCAGCAGUGAGGAAUA